UACGUAGGGAGCGAGCGUUGUCCGGAUUUACUGGGUGUAAAGGGAGCGUAGACGGCGAUGCAAGUCUGAAGUGAAAGGCGGGGGCCCAACCCCCGGACUGCUUUGGAAACUGUAUGGCUGGAGUGCUGGAGAGGUAAGUGGAAUUCCUAGUGUAGCGGUGAAAUGCGUAGAUAUUAGGAGGAACACCAGUGGCGAAGGCGGCUUACUGGACUGUAACUGACGUUGAGGCUCGAAAGCGUGGGGAGCAAACAGG
This 253-nucleotide ribosomal RNA is filed under the name uncultured bacterium. RNAcentral describes it as "partial 16S ribosomal RNA". It matches the Rfam family "Bacterial small subunit ribosomal RNA", at positions 524 to 776 of the family's 1533-position model. The record is from RNAcentral.